AUGGACCCUGAGUCCGAGGUCACGUUCGAGUUCGUGCCGGUGAUCCGGCAGUACAGGAGCGGCCGCGUCGAGCGCCUGCUCCCCGUGGACCACGUCCCUCCCUCCGUCGACGCCGCCACGGGAGUCGCCUCCAGGGACGUCGUCGUCAACCCGGCCACCGGCACGUGGGCCCGCCUCUACCUCCCCGCCCCGGCGUCCCCCGUCGGCGACGAGAGCGGCAGGCUCCCCAUCAUGGUGUACCUCCACGGCGGCGGUCUCGUCGCCGGCUCGGCGGCGGACGCGCCCGAGCACGCGUUCCUCAACCGCCUGUGCGCCCGCGCGCGCGUCCUGGGCGUGUCCGUCGAGUACCGCCUCGCGCCGGAGCACCCCGUCCCGGCCUGCUACGACGACGCGUGGGCCGCGCUCCGGUGGGCCGCCGAGGGCGCCGACCCGUGGCUCCGGGACCGCGGCGACCGCGGCCGGAUGUUCGUGGUCGGGUACAGCGCCGGCGGCAACGUCGCCCACAACGUGGCGCUCCGCGCCGGCUCGGAGGCCGACGCGCUCCCCCGCGGCGCCCGGGUCAGGGGCCUCGGGCUCCUGCACCCGUACUUCCUCUCGGCCGAGAAGGCGGACGGCGAGCACUCGUGGCUGAGGGGCAAGCUGGAGGAGCUGUGGCCGUUCGCGUGCGGCGGGCGCACCGCCGGGCUGGACGACCCGCGGGUCAACCCGGUGGCCGACGGGGCGCCGAGCCUGCGGCGGCUCGGCUGCGACCGCGUCCUCGUCUGCCUCGCCGACGACGAGCUGCGGCUCCGAGGCAAGGCGUACCACGACGGGCUGCUGGGGAGCGGGUGGGCGGAGGGCGACGCCGAGCUGCUCGACUCCGUCGGCGAGGACCACCAGUUCUUCCUCCGGGAGCCCCCGACCGCGACGGCGCUGCUUCUCAUGGACCGGCUGGCCGCGCUCCUCGGCGCCGGCGAGAACCAGCAGUAG
Molecule: ribosomal RNA, 969 nt
Filed under: Triticum aestivum (bread wheat)
Lineage: Eukaryota; Viridiplantae; Streptophyta; Magnoliopsida; Poales; Poaceae
Description: partial small subunit ribosomal RNA
Source: RNAcentral